Molecule: ribosomal RNA, 253 nt
Filed under: uncultured bacterium
Lineage: Bacteria
Description: partial 16S ribosomal RNA
Rfam family: Bacterial small subunit ribosomal RNA
Source: RNAcentral
UACGUAGGGGGCUAGCGUUGUCCGGAUUUAUUGGGCGUAAAGAGCGUGUAGGCGGACCUGCAAGUCGGGGGUGAAAGCCCGAGGCUCAACCUCGGAACUGCCUUCGAUACUGCGGGUCUCGAGUCCGGGAGAGGUGAGUGGAAUUCCUAGUGUAGAGGUGAAAUUCGUAGAUAUUAGGAAGAACACCAGUGGCGAAGGCGGCUCACUGGCCCGGUACUGACGCUGAGGCGCGAAAGCGUGGGGAGCAAACAGG